This 674-nucleotide ribosomal RNA is filed under the name Brucella intermedia. Its description in RNAcentral is "bacterial SSU rRNA". It matches the Rfam family "Bacterial small subunit ribosomal RNA", at positions 21 to 752 of the family's 1533-position model. Lineage: Bacteria; Pseudomonadati; Pseudomonadota; Alphaproteobacteria; Hyphomicrobiales; Brucellaceae. The record is from RNAcentral.
CCCUUGGAGCUGCAGCAUGCUCUGUGCGUGCAGUCGAGCGCCCCGCAAGGGGAGCGGCAGACGGGUGAGUAACGCGUGGGAACGUACCAUUUGCUACGGAAUAACUCAGGGAAACUUGUGCUAAUACCGUAUGUGCCCGAAAGGGGAAAGAUUUAUCGGCAAAUGAUCGGCCCGCGUUGGAUUAGCUAGUUGGUGGGGUAAAGGCCUACCAAGGCGACGAUCCAUAGCUGGUCUGAGAGGAUGAUCAGCCACACUGGGACUGAGACACGGCCCAGACUCCUACGGGAGGCAGCAGUGGGGAAUAUUGGACAAUGGGCGCAAGCCUGAUCCAGCCAUGCCGCGUGAGUGAUGAAGGCCCUAGGGUUGUAAAGCUCUUUCACCGGUGAAGAUAAUGACGGUAACCGGAGAAGAAGCCCCGGCUAACUUCGUGCCAGCAGCCGCGGUAAUAGAAGGGGGCUAGCGUUGUUCGGAUUUACUGGGCGUAAAGCGCACGUAGGCGGGCUAAUAAGUCAGGGGUGAAAUCCCGGGGCUCAACCCCGGAACUGCCUUUGAUACUGUUAGUCUUGAGUAUGGUAGAGGUGAGUGGAAUUCCGAGUGUAGAGGUGAAAUUCGUAGAUAUUCGGAGGAACACCAGUGGCGAAGGCGGCUCACUGGACCAUUACUGACGCUGAGGU